Molecule: long non-coding RNA, 121 nt
Organism: Hordeum vulgare subsp. vulgare (domesticated barley)
Lineage: Eukaryota; Viridiplantae; Streptophyta; Magnoliopsida; Poales; Poaceae
Exons: 3
Source: RefSeq, a predicted model, not a curated record
AUUGUGAUUGCUCAUCAGGAUGUCGAGUUACGGAUGUUAUUGGUAAAACAGACCAUGAGAUAUUGUCAGGAGAGGGUAUAGAUGAGAUGAAUAAGGUCAAGAGAGAGGUUAUGUCCAAGGG